GACGAACGCUGGCGGCGUGCCUAAUACAUGCAAGUUGAGCGAUGGAGAUUGGUGCUUGCACCAAUUUGAAGAGCAGCGAACGGGUGAGUAACGCGUGGGGAAUCUGCCUUUGAGCGGGGGACAACAUUUGGAAACGAAUGCUAAUACCGCAUAACAACUUUAAACAUAAGUUUUAAGUUUGAAAGAUGCAAUUGCAUCACUCAAAGAUGAUCCCGCGUUGUAUUAGCUAGUUGGUGAGGUAAAGGCUCACCAAGGCGAUGAUACAUAGCCGACCUGAGAGGGUGAUCGGCCACAUUGGGACUGAGACACGGCCCAAACUCCUACGGGAGGCAGCAGUAGGGAAUCUUCGGCAAUGGACGAAAGUCUGACCGAGCAACGCCGCGUGAGUGAAGAAGGUUUUCGGAUCGUAAAACUCUGUUGGUAGAGAAGAGCGUUGGUGAGAGUGGAAAGCUCAUCAAGUGACGGUAACUACCCAGAAAGGGACGGCUAACUACGUG
Molecule: ribosomal RNA, 497 nt
Filed under: uncultured bacterium
Lineage: Bacteria
Description: partial 16S ribosomal RNA
Rfam family: Bacterial small subunit ribosomal RNA
Source: RNAcentral